This 440-nucleotide ribosomal RNA is filed under the name uncultured bacterium. RNAcentral describes it as "partial 16S ribosomal RNA". It matches the Rfam family "Bacterial small subunit ribosomal RNA", at positions 338 to 795 of the family's 1533-position model. The record is from RNAcentral.
CCUACGGGUGGCAGCAGUAGGGAAUAUUGCUCAAUGGGGGAAACCCUGAAGCAGCAACGCCGCGUGGAGGAUGAAGGUUUUCGGAUUGUAAACUCCUUUUGUUAGAGAAGAUAAUGACGGUAUCUAACGAAUAAGCACCGGCUAACUCCGUGCCAGCAGCCGCGGUAAUAUGGAGGGUGCAAGCGUUACUCGGAAGCACUGGGCGUAAAGAGCGCGUAGGCGGGAUAGCAAGUCAGAUGUGAAAUCCUAUGGCUUAACCAUAGAAGUGCAUUUGAAACUGGUAUUCUAGAGUGUGUGAGAGGUAUGUGGAAUGCUUGGUGUAGGGGUAAAAUCCGUAGAGAUCAAGAGGAAUACUCAUUGCGAAGGCGACCUGCUAGAACAUAACUGACGCUGAUGCGCGAAAGCGUGGGGAGCGAACAGGAUUAGAUACCCUGGUAGUC